UACGUAGGUGGCGAGCGUUAUCCGGAAUUACUGGGCGUAAAGCGCACGCAGGCGGCCUAUCAAGUCUGACGUGAAAGCUCCUGGCUUAACUGGGAGAGGUCGUUGGAAACUGAGGGGCUUGAGGCAAUGAGAGGGGUGUGGAAUUCCCGGUGUAGUGGUGGAAUGCGUAGAUAUCGGGGGGAACACCAGUGGCGAAAGCGGCACCCUGGCAUUGGCCUGACGCUCAUGUGCGAAGGCGUGGGGAGCGAACGGG
This 253-nucleotide ribosomal RNA is filed under the name uncultured Caldilinea sp. Its description in RNAcentral is "partial 16S ribosomal RNA". It matches the Rfam family "Bacterial small subunit ribosomal RNA", at positions 524 to 776 of the family's 1533-position model. The record is from RNAcentral. Lineage: Bacteria; Bacillati; Chloroflexota; Caldilineae; Caldilineales; Caldilineaceae.